Molecule: long non-coding RNA, 688 nt
Filed under: Homo sapiens (human)
Lineage: Eukaryota; Metazoa; Chordata; Mammalia; Primates; Hominidae
Description: HSALNT0078102
Source: RNAcentral
AAGACUCCGUGGGCGUAGGACCCUCCGAGCCAGGUGUGGGAUAUAGUCUCGUGGUGCGCCAUUUUUUAAGCCCGUCAGAAAAGCGCAGUAUUCGGGUGGGAGUGACCCUAUUUUCCAGGUGCGUCCAUCACCCCUUUCUUUGACUCGGAAAGGGAACUCCCUGACCCCUUGCGCUUCCCCAGUGAGGUAAUGCCUCACCCUGCUUCGGCUCGUGCACGGUGCGCGCACCCACUGACCUGCGCCCACUGUCUGGCGCUCCCUAGUGAGAUGAACCUGGUACCUCAGAUGGAAAUGCAGAAAUCACCCGUCUUCUGCAUCGCUCACGCUGGUAGCUGUAGACCGGAGCUGUUCCUAUUCGGCCAUCUUGGCUCUCCCUCGUCUUAUUGAUUGGAGAGCGAUUGAUUGGAGAGUGCAGACGUAUGCAGCAACAGGUUUGUCAGAUGUGGUGGUCAUUGCUCUUACUCCAGCUUUGCAUCCUAGAAUCACCUUGUUCAGAUCAUCACCACUUCUCAAUUGGGUGAUGGUGGUAGUUUCCUACCUACUGUUGUUACCGGAGAGGGGUCCCGAUCCAGAUCCUGAGACGGUUUAUGAAUCUCACUCAAGAAAGAAUUUGAGAAUUCAAGGACUUAUGGACUAUGUUGCACUCGCAUAUAAACUUCAUAUAAAGAGGAAUGAGACAAUGUCAAAG